CUGUGAGAUGGCACUGUGAGACCCCAGGCCGGUCACUGUGAGGGGCUCUGUGAUGGCACUGUGAGACCCCAGGCCGGUCACUGUGAGGGGUUCUGUGAUGGCACUGUGAGACCCCAGGCUGGUCCCUGUGAGGGGCUCUGUGAGACCCCAGGCCGGUCACUGUGAGGGGUUCUGUGAUGUCACUAUGGUAAAUGACUGUGUCUGAUUACAAAUAUCUUCAGGGGAUGACUAUGAUAGGGUUAGUGUGGCAAGGUGAGGGGGUGAGUGUGACAUGAAUUGGGAGGUUGAGUUGGCACGGUAGGUUAGUGUAACAGUGUUGAGUGUAGCAGGGUUAAUGGGGUGAGUUUGGCAGAGUUCGGGAGUGAGUGUGGCAGGGCUGAGGGGUGAGUGUUACAGAGUUAGGGUGGCAGUGGCGAGGAGGAGUGAGUGUGAUUGAGUGAGAGGGAUAAUUUGUGACAGGAUGAGGGGGUGACCAUGUAUAGAAGCUAAGUGUGUGUGGGGAGUGACCGUAUUAUUAUUUAUAAAGCGCCAACAAAUUCCGCAGCGCUGUACAAUGGGUGGACUAACAGACACGUAUCUGUAACCAGACAAGUUGGACGCACAGGAACUGAGGGAUUGAGGGCCCUGAUCAAUGAGCUUACAUGCUAGAGGGAGAAGGGCAUAGUGACACAAAAGGUUAGGGUAGAGCGGAUGGUAGUGCCAUUGACUUGGAGGGAAACAGACAAGGGAGUAGCAACACUUGAGGGAGGAAAGACCAGAAGUUCUGUUUUGGACAAGUUCAGUUUAAGGAAGUGAGCACCCAUCCAGUUUGAAAUAGCAGAGAGGCAGUCAGAGACACGAGUCAAAUGGGGUGGUGAGAAAUCAGGGAAGGACAGAUAAAUUUGUGUGUCAUCCUCAUAGAAAUGGUACUGGAAGCCAAAGGAGCU
Non-coding RNA from Pelobates cultripes (western spadefoot toad), 926 nucleotides. The record is from the annotation of a GenBank genome assembly. NCBI's taxonomy places the organism in Eukaryota, Metazoa, Chordata, Amphibia, Anura, Pelobatidae.